GACGAACGCUGGCGGCGUGCUUAACACAUGCAAGUCGAACGGAAAGGCCCUGCUUUUGGGGGGUGCUCGAGUGGCGAACGGGUGAGUAACACGGGAGUAACCUGCCCUUGACUUUGGGAUAACUUCAGGAAACUGGGGCUAAUACCGGAUAGGAGCUCCUGCUGACUGGUGGGGGUUGGAAAGUUUCGGCGGUUGGGGAUGGACUCGCGGCUUAUCAGCUUGUUGGUGGGGUAGUGGCUUACCAAGGCUUUGACGGGUAGCCGGCCUGAGAGGGUGACCGGCCACAUUGGGACUGAGAUACGGCCCAGACUCCUACGGGAGGCAGCAGUGGGGAAUAUUGCACAAUGGGCGGAAGCCUGAUGCAGCAACGCCGCGUGCGGGAUGACGGCCUUCGGGUUGUAAACCGCUUUCGCCUGUGACGAAGCGUGAGUGACGGUAAUGGGUAAAGAAGCACCGGCUAACUACGUG
This 468-nucleotide ribosomal RNA is filed under the name uncultured bacterium. RNAcentral's name for it is "partial 16S ribosomal RNA". It matches the Rfam family "Bacterial small subunit ribosomal RNA", at positions 28 to 507 of the family's 1533-position model. The record is from RNAcentral.